UGGGGAAUAUUGGGCAAUGGGCGAAAGCCUGACCCAGCAAUGCCGCGUGAAGGACGAAGGUCUUCGGAUUGUAAACUUCUUUGAUCAGGGACGAAAGCAAUGACGGUACCUGAAGAACAAGCCACGGCUAACUACGUGCCAGCAGCCGCGGUAAUACGUAGGUGGCGAGCGUUAUCCGGAUUUACUGGGUGUAAAGGGCGUGUAGGCGGAUUCUCAAGUUGGAUGUGAAACCCCUUGGCUAAACUGAGGGCUUGCAUUCAAAACUGAGGACCUUGAGUAUCAGAGGGGAAAGUGGAAUUCCUGGUGGAGCGGUAAAAUGCGUAGAGAUCAGGAGGAACACCGGUGGCGAAGGCGACUUUCUGGCUGACAACUGACGCUGAGGCGCGAAAGCGUGGGGAGCAAACAGG
This 407-nucleotide ribosomal RNA is filed under the name Bacteroidota bacterium. RNAcentral describes it as "Bacteroidetes bacterium partial 16S ribosomal RNA". It matches the Rfam family "Bacterial small subunit ribosomal RNA", at positions 355 to 776 of the family's 1533-position model. Lineage: Bacteria; Pseudomonadati; Bacteroidota. RNAcentral also lists the same sequence under 1 other name. The record is from RNAcentral.